UGCCAGCCGCCGCGGUAACACGGGGGGCGCAAGCGUUAUUCGGAAUUACUGGGCGUAAAGCGCGCGUAGGCGGUUCGUUAAGUCUGAUGUGAAAGCCCGGGGCUCAACCCCGGAAGUGCAUUGGAAACUGGCGAACUUGAGUACGGGAGAGGAAAGUGGAAUUCCGAGUGUAGGGGUGAAAUCCGUAGAUAUUCGGAGGAACACCAGUGGCGAAGGCGGCUUCCUGGACCGAUACUGACGCUGAGACGCGAAAGCGUGGGGAGGAAACAGGAUUAGAUU
This 279-nucleotide ribosomal RNA is filed under the name uncultured bacterium. RNAcentral's name for it is "partial 16S ribosomal RNA". It matches the Rfam family "Bacterial small subunit ribosomal RNA", at positions 506 to 784 of the family's 1533-position model. The record is from RNAcentral.